Molecule: transfer RNA, 72 nt
Filed under: Camelus bactrianus (Bactrian camel)
Lineage: Eukaryota; Metazoa; Chordata; Mammalia; Artiodactyla; Camelidae
Also listed under: 2 other names
Rfam family: tRNA
About the family: Transfer RNA (tRNA) molecules are approximately 80 nucleotides in length. Their secondary structure includes four short double-helical elements and three loops (D, anti-codon, and T loops). Further hydrogen bonds mediate the characteristic L-shaped molecular structure. tRNAs have two regions of fundamental functional importance: the anti-codon, which is responsible for specific mRNA codon recognition, and the 3' end, to which the tRNAs corresponding amino acid is attached (by aminoacyl-tRNA synthetases). tRNAs cope with the degeneracy of the genetic code in two manners: having more than one tRNA (with a specific anti-codon) for a particular amino acid; and 'wobble' base-pairing, i.e. permitting non-standard base-pairing at the 3rd anti-codon position.
Source: Rfam by way of RNAcentral
GAGGGUGUAGCUCAGGGGCAGAGUGUGCCCUUAGCAUGCUCAAGGUCCUGGGUUCAAUCCCCAGUACCUCCA